UGCGUUUGUUUGCAAGGAUUUGAUUUUCCAAAAAAUAUUUUCUUGAUUUUACGGUGUUUGGUUGCUUGAAAAUAAAUUACAUGGGUAAAAGAUUUUCCAAAACAAGGUAAAUUAUGUGAGUUUUUUUAGGGAAAAUGUAUUACAGAUUUUUAAUCGGUAAGACAUUUUCUGAAAAAUCUUCCUCCACUCUCACCAUCCGUUCUUCAUCCUUUCUGUAAGAUUUUCUAAAAAACGGUAAGACUUUCUCCUUCUUUCGUUCUUCAUCCAAUUUCCUUCUUCAUCCAUUUUGUAAAAGUUUUUCUAUUUAAGAAUCUUCUUCUUCCUUCUUUUUUCUACUUUUUUAAGUUGUAAUUAUGAUUGCAGGUUGGCUCAUCCAGGAGGACCUGUUUAAGUACUAUUUUAUUCUCCCUUCUUCAUUUGUUCUGUAAGAUUGGCUGUCAAUAAUGCUUAAAGCUACCUUCUUUCAAAGUACUCUUUUAUUCAUUUCUUUUUCUUCUCUACUUUUGAUCUGUUUAAGUUUUCAUUAAUAUGAUUUUUUUUGGAAUUUUUGCUUGAUUUUGCAUCACAGAUCUAAUCUAGUUCAUAGAAAAAUUAUUUGUGUGCUAAAAUUUGACCCUUUUUUUUAGCUAGUUUGUCAAAUGAACUCUAAUACUCUGUUUGUUUCUGGGUUUUGCAUUAUUAAGCUUUUUUUAUGCUUUAUUAAAAUGUAUGUGCUGUUUAGAAUAAAAAAAAUGUUAAGUUAAUUAUUGAUAACAGUUGUUAAGAAUGCUCAAUUUUAAGUAUGAAAUUGCUGAACUGAAUAUACUUAAAUUUGUCGAGGAGAUGGACUGCUACUGGUUGAAAUAAUGGGGAAUUAUGGGAGGUUAAAUGCCAAACUUUGGUCUCUGUCCAAAUGCUGGACUUUCAGCAUUUAAUUUCCCUAUUUAAAGAUGUUUUAAACUUGCUAAAAAUACAACAAUUGCAUAUGUUAUUUACUUAAUUAAAUAAAUGGUAGCGAGUUCUUUACAUUUUCUUCCUUGGUUGUUUUUUUGGAUCUUUAUGCUGGUAUUUGUGAUGGAAUUUUGAUGAAAUUUCUAGCUAUCGAGGGAUCUACUGAUUUAAUAUACUGCCUUAUGGUUGUUUAUUGUUGUUCAAAGCAUGAUGAAAUAAACGUGUUGGUGUUGCUUAAUAUCUUAGAAAAGAUAAGGGUUUCAUUGAUAUUGUGUUUCAAUGGUCUCUUGAAGACAUAUUCAACGAUAAUCUUUAUAUCAUCAUCAUCACCCUUGAAUCUUUGGUUUUCUUUUUUUAUUAAACCUUAUUUACGGGUUUUCUUUGCAGCUUUUGGAAUAUCCACUUUUAUGGAAGUAGAAAAUGAUUGCUCUUAUACUUAAAAAUAGCUGUAGCAGUGAACUGGAAUAAACUUUCUUUGUGUGUGUGUGUUGCCCUAGCCCAUUUCUGCAUUCUAUAUUGUGAACGUCUUGCUUUUAGUCGGUCAUUGGCAACUAGAUAAAAGUGGCAUAUAGUUACAUAAGUAGUGAAUCGUGUAUAAGACUUGUGAAAUUUUUGCUAACAAGGGAAUUAGGAACUAAUAGCAGCUAAAACACAAUAACUUGUUAUUUUCUUGCUAUAAAACUCUUUUGAAAUAUCGUCAAUCAUUUUACUCUUUCAGCAGCCUAUUAUUGCCAAAGCCAAUAUCUGCUCAUAAAAAUAAAGUAGCACUUGAUUAGCUCCCUUUUCUGUUGCCUGCAUCGUGUUCCCCAUUUAUAUAUACCAAAUUUUGACUGCAAUUCAUGAGGCCUCCAUUUCUAGUUCUUCUUCGAGGGGUUUAUAUUGAUACAAGAAAAUGACAAUAAGAAAAAAAAAUGAAGUCCAUUGAUACAAUAGCUUCUCUUGUCGUAGUUAAUUUGAACUAUAUAUAUAUGUAUGUAAUUUGUGUAAUAUAUUGUUCCAUUUUUGACUCAUUUUUCAUUGUAGGGUGGUAAUGGUUGAACCAGUUUUGUUUUUUGAUAUGUUUUAAACAAUUUAACAUUUUACUCUCCAAUCAUUGUGUUACUCUCCAAACUUUGUUUGAUUUCAAUUUAUGACGAUUAAUAUUCUAGCUUAAUAAUUGAGUAUUAUUAUAUAUUUAAUUUGAUUUAUUUAUUUAUAAAUAGAUCAUUGUAAUAUAUGUAAAAACAAUUUAAAAUAUAAAUUUAUUAAUUAAUAUAUGUAAAAACAGUUUUUUCAGAAAAUAUUUUUAGGAAAUUUGCCAAAUAACAGAAAAUAUUUUACACAGAUUCAUCCAAACACCAGAAAAGUAAACCAUUUUCAAAAAAGUAAAUCAUUUUCCGGAAAACAUUUUACUGACAAACAAACGGAGUCUUUGCAAUAUGUUAAUUUUUAUUUUAUUUAAUUUCUUGUCUAAGUUAAUGCUAAUAUUGUUUAAGAUAGAAAAUAAUUUAUUUUUAUUAAAAUAUUUAUUAUUUCAAAAUAAAUAUUAAUUUAAAUAAUUUAAAAUUAUAUUAAUUGAGUAAUUGUUAAUUAACUUUAAUGUAUUUAGUUAGUUAUAACAAUGUAAAAAGUUAGAGGACUCGAAUAGCAAUUUUAAAAAGCAGAAGUACAUAAAUAAUUUGUUAAAAAGAUGGGAAGUCGCAAUUGUAAUUAUAUCAUUUUUAAAAUAUGUAAAUAAUAAUUGUACAAAAAUAUAAAGGACUGAAUUGGUUAUUUAAAAUUGUGGGAGCCCAUUUAGAAAACGUAAAAAAUAGGAUGCCCUUACUUCUUAUUAAACCAUUUUUAUUAUACCAUUUAAACCUAAAUACUUUCAUUUCAGCAGUUCUCUCUUUUUUUUUCUAUAAAAAAAAACAUUUUUAAUCUUUCAUUUCAGGAUUUUCCUUUUCAUGCUAUAUUUUUUCAUAUUUUAUUUCAUACCUUUGUGAUAUUGAUCAAUCUCGAAAGUGUCCCCACCAUUGUUUUGGUAGUUUUGAAUUUGGCAAAGGUGUUUUUUUUUUAAAUAAAAUUUUUAUUUAAUUAAGUUCUAAGGCUUUUUUCUUUUAAACAUUAUGUUGACGGUUGUUGGGUGUGCCUCAUAUUUAUUAGAUGUUUUGCAGGCACUUAUCGGAGACAAACAUGCGACAUCACAACGAGGAGAUAUGUGACAUUGCGAUAACGUAACGAGCAAGGGACGACGUCACAACAAGGGUCGUCGGGACUAGGUGACAAUCUCUUGAGGCAAGACCAGGGGCGACGUGACGAAGAGAGUCGUGACAUCACGACGAUAUCUCCCCUAAUGUAGCCGUGUUUUAGACUCCAAGUAAGACUUUUUCUCCCAGUUGGACUCUAAUUACUUCAAGGUUAUUUUAGUAUGAUUAGACCUCUAAUCUUAGCCUAUUUAUAGGGCCUUUGCAACCCUAAUUCAGACAUGCCAAUCAAUAAAGGCUUUUCUUGAUGGCAACAUGUAACACCUUAUACCCGACCCGAUCGCUGAGUUCGGGUACCAAAUGUCACAAUUAACUUGAGUUACUUAACAACAUUUUUAAUUAAAUUUAUUUACAAACUUAAUCAAUGCCAAAUUUAAUUCGUAUUUACCAGAUAACAUUAUUCUAAUUUCUUAUAUAUCAACAUGUUUCGAAAUCUAACUUCAAAUAAACUUUCUAUAAUCACUAAUACUCUUACAAUCAUUUUGCCUUACUACGCAUGAACAAUUAUUUACAUGGACUUGAAACAUAAGACUUCAUUAUAAAAUAUGCUUAAUCAACCCCCGAUGCGUAGUCUCUAAGAGUACCCCUCUAUAGACAUGAAGCAACUAUUACGCCCUUCUUGUGAACUUGGCAGUGUUUGGCUUGGUCCCGUCCCAUAAUAACCUUGUCAGCCUUUGAUCUUGCAUCAAAGGAAACCACUCAUAAGUUCAAAUGAACUUAGUAAGAUGUCUUACAUUAAUUAUUUAUGAAUAACUCAAUGUUAUCACGAGUAUAAAGAUUUGAUGCGCGUAAGUAAACUCCCUGAAUUUCUUGUAAACCUUUAUAGUUCACUAGCACAAACGACGUCCAUAUGUUAAUACUCUUUCUAAAGCCCUUUUUUGGGGACGUGGCGUUGUCAGACUUCAUCUCAGAUUUUUAUGUUACCUAGCUGAAUUGGUGCAUCGAGAAACAACCACACCAGCAGAUAUACGAAUUGUCGACACCCUUUGGCGGACUUACAAAUACCUCACCACCAUAGCAGAUUCCUACCUUGUUCCCUUCAUUCCGUUUUGAACUCAUUAUCGACUUACUGUAUUAUCCCAACAUUUACUUUCUUAUAACUUGUGAAUAUACUCUUUCAAAUGAAAACCCGUUCUCUUACCUUCUCGUAUGAGGCCUUCGAAUAUAAGAUGAAGAAGCGAAUCAAUCAGAAUGGAGACAGGGGGGAGAGGCGAAAGAAAGAUUGUCGAGCCUGCAAGCAGCAAGCAACAACGGCUGAAAAGCCGUUGCGCGCUAGCUUAUAGUUUAGGGGUAUAGUAGGGGUGCCCCUUUCUAAAACUUAUAUUUAAUAUAAGGUAAGCUUUUUUUGGAACUUUCGUUUUGGAGUUUUCCCCAACCUAUACCUUACUAAUAUUACUAAAAAAUAGGGGCUUACGUUUUUCAGCCGCAUCGCACUUCCGCAUAAACAAUGGAUCCGCUGGGCUGGAUGAGCAACCUUCUCUGGAAAAUAAUAGUGACUUCUAUCUCGUGUAUGUAUACUUGUAAGAUGGUCCUACUAGUCCUUUCCUCAUCAAGAUAGCCUGAAUAAAUAUUUCCUUAACUAGCUAGUCAUGCUGGACUUCCCAACCAUUGUUAGUUCCCAAUGGACUACCACUUCGCUAGAUCAGAUUAGGCAAACUUCCCUUUUAUAAGUUAGUCUUUAGUGGACUUCUUAACGUUAGAUAGUCCCAGUAGACAUCCUCUUCCCUUGAUAUUCCCUAACAGACAUUCCACCUAAGAUAGUUCUUGGUGAAGUUUCCACCUUUCUAACGACCUAUUUGCCAAUAAACACUUUGGAAAUAAGAUUUGAAAGCCAUCCUGCUUUCUUAUAACUCAUGUUGGUGUGUGCAUCUCCUCUGGCAGACUCUUAAUGGCGAAUACAUAUUUGCAUAUACUUUGAGAGAAAACCGUAUUCAUCUACAUUUACAUGCAUACAAGGGGUUUCCACCUUUUCCUCUUACCUCGUAUCUUGGUGAGACAUCAUAUCAUCACGCUUAUCUGUGUUCCCAUACACACUAAAACCGUUAUGUAAGACUUUUCGCCACGUGAAUCAUACAGUGAUUUCCACUUAUAUGACCCAACGGGCUUCCCUGUUUACUACCUUGACAAAUUCCAUUCUACCAUGAGGCGUAUUUUUCCUCCACUAGAUUGUACCAUGGCUCGCCAUGGACUUUGUUGGAAACUGGCCAAGUGUGUUGAAACUCCAACAGACUUUCAACUUCGAAGAGUCAGUAAACCACUUUUGAGGUGUCACUUCGAAGAGCCUGUAGAUAACCAUCUCCAACCAAUCCUCCUUAAGUCUUCUUUCAAUUCACCCAUUCCUCCAUUACGCCAAGGUUUUCCUAUCUUCAACUACCUGACCAAUUACUUCCCUCUGUACCCUACACUUUAAAGACAAACAUAACACACAUAUCAUCACAUUCACUAUCAUAGCAGGGAGUAUGCCACAUAAUAGUUUAUAGAUAGACAACUAUGUUAUACAUUUAAAGAACAAACUUGCAAGCAUUCAUAUAUUUACGCAGCUUUAUGCAAACAUAACUUUCUCGUUCACCAAAAUCAUAUACAACCAUAGAAUUCAAACUGAACUUAGAGCAGACAUACAAGCAAAAACAUUCAAGCAGCACAACAUCUAUUCAACACUCAAAAGUAGAGUACAAAAACUGAAUCCAGUCUCAUGCAGAAGUUUCCAAAGAUUUCAUACACGUUUAACUUCUCUUUUUCUCAAAUUCACUAAUACAGUAAGAUUAAAAAGCUUACCAGUUCACCGUAUUCACUACAUUCCAGACUUAAACCUCAUGGUCAUUAUCCCAUACAGAGUUUUCCUCAACUUUCUCUUUUUCGGAGCAACCAAAGAGGACAAUGCAUAAGAGAAGAAAAUAAAACAGAAUGGAGAAGAAUUCUGCCUGUAGAAUGAUCCUUCUCGUACAUAUAUAUCCUCUUACACAUGGUUAUCAAAGCCCCCAAUAACUAAGGAACUAGCCGAUUCCAACUUAGCUAACUAGAAUUGAAAUCCAACUAUUUACCAUUCAACCACUAAAUUUUCCAUAUUCUUCAAUAGAGCCUACCAAAUCUACAAAUUCUUUCAAUUAACUCUUGAUCCUUCUUAAUUCCGGACUUUAAUAGGAAUCGGGUGUGACAUGACAAGAUGUAGUUGCAUAUAAAUUUUGGUGAGAGUUUUAAUGAGAAUUUCGUGGUAACUUUAGAGAGAAUUUUGUUCCUGAGUUAGAUUUUUGUUUUCAAGGUUUGGGUGAUGUACGUCUAGUACAUUUAAGUUUAGUUUUUCCAUAUUAUACUCUUAUCUAUUUACUCAUUUAGUGAAAAGUCAAAGCCUCCAUUGCUCGUGGUUUUUCCCUUUUUUGAGGGUUUUUCACGUAAAAUAUUUAUGUUCGUGCUUCUCCACUUUAACUAUCUUGUUGUUUAUAAGAGUCGAUCCCAACAACGGUGAUAAAUCUUAAUAAAACAUGUUUUUCUUUUUAUAAAUUGUUUGUGUAAUUAAUUAUUAUUCUUGAAUAUUGAAAAUUUAUUAGAUAUGAUAUUUUUUUAAAGAUUUUUUUAUAUUUGUUAUUUUUUCUUAUAAAAAGAGCAAGAUUUCUCGUAUAUUUUAUUCUUUCACUAAACAUCAAGUUUUAAAACAACGGUUGAUUAACCCAAGUAUCAACCACUGUACUGCAUGGACAAUAGGCAAUUUCUUUUAUAAGGCCAUUUAGUCACAAUAGGGAGAAGUUAGAAAUUUUUUAGAGGGGUAAAAAUUAAAUUAUAAUUUUUAUAAUAGUAAAAAUAUAAUUUUAUCAUUUUAAUAGUUCAUAUAUUUAUAAUUUUUAAAAGAUUAAAUCAAAUUAUAUCAUUUUUAAGGGGAUCAAAGUAUAAUUUUAUUUUUACUAUUUUUAAAUUUUUAAAUUUUUAAAUUUUUAAAAAGUAUAAAUGAAAUUUUUUUUAUAGCUAGCACCUAUAGCUACACCCCUCUUCUAUAUCUGCAUGUUUAUAAUGUAUAUAAAUAUAUGGCAUAAAUGCAUAAUGAAAUUGUGGUAAUUAAAGUUGAACUUUCCUUGUUUAAAGAUUGGAACAAAAUUGGUGGGUUUUAAUAGAUGGGUUAAUAUGAUUGGUUUAGGGCCUACCAAUCCAGGCCUAGAGUGAAGAAACGGAAGCCGUAAAGUCAGCAAUCUACGCCGCAAACCAACUGUAAUGGCGUCUUUUACGGGAUAACACCCACACCAUGAUUAAUAAAACCCACUCCCACAAGAAACAUUGGUCGGCAGUUCCGUAACACCCCAACCUCUCCCCCAUUUCACUAAAUAAUAUACAACCGACAUACAUCUACAAGUUGAAAUUGAGUUGAAUCUAGCUACUUGCAUUUGUUGGUGGGAGGUUGUCUUUUGUACAUUCACAUGUUGUUAGUACAUAACACAUGUGAAUUUGGGUCCUACUCCCAAACCAAAGAAAAAUAUAAAUGAUGCUCUUUUAGGAAUCAAGAAAUUGCAGGAUGAUUCUUAACCUGUUUUGUGAUUGCUGCACUCACUUACAUGACUUUUUACUUUUUAUGGAUAGUUGCGAUUAUAAAAAUAAAACGUUAACAAAACCCGUAAUCUUCACUGCUAAGUGCUAUGCUAUGCAGGUGGCUAAACCAGAAGCGGAAGAGUUGAGAUUAGGCAAAAAUCCAGCUUCCUUUUUCUUCUUCUUUGGGUGACAACAAGAAUCCUAUUCUGAUCAUCAUGCCAUACAUAUGAGAAGAAGUUGGCCUGGGAAUAUAUAAUAUAUAUAUAUUAGGAGUAUAUACUUAUUGUCUGUCUUUUGUUCCCUUUCCCAACACAACCAAAACCAUUCUUUUUAUCACAACACCACAUUAAUUAUAUACAUACAACAAUCAUUUUGAAUGGAGAGACAUUGAGAAAGAAUCUCUUUACUUUUGAAUGUGGUUUGGAACUGAAACCCCUUUAAAUAAUAAUCUCAAUCACCUCUCAUAGAU
This 8136-nucleotide long non-coding RNA is filed under the name Gossypium barbadense (sea-island cotton). RNAcentral's name for it is "long non-coding RNA (GBAR_LNC006769)". Lineage: Eukaryota; Viridiplantae; Streptophyta; Magnoliopsida; Malvales; Malvaceae. The record is from RNAcentral.